Molecule: ribosomal RNA, 253 nt
Filed under: uncultured bacterium
Lineage: Bacteria
Description: partial 16S ribosomal RNA
Rfam family: Bacterial small subunit ribosomal RNA
Source: RNAcentral
UACGUAGGGGGCAAGCGUUGUCCGGAAUCAUUGGGCGUAAAGAGCGUGUAGGCGGCUCGGUAAGUCCGCUGUGAAAGUCCAGGGCUCAACCCUGGAAUGCCGGUGGAAACUGUCGAGCUAGAGUCCGGAAGAGGCGAGUGGAAUUCCUGGUGUAGCGGUGAAAUGCGCAGAUAUCAGGAGGAACACCAAUGGCGAAGGCAGCUCGCUGGGACGGUACUGACGCUGAGGAGCGAAAGCGUGGGUAGCAAACAGG